AUGAACGCGGCGGAAUGCUUUACACAUGCAAGUCGAACGGUAGAGGGGGCAACCCCUUGAGAGUGGCGAACGGGUGAGUAAUAUAUCGGAACGUGCCCAGUCGUGGGGGAUAACGUAGUGAAAAUUACGCUAAUACCGCAUACGAUCUAAGGAUGAAAGCGGGGGAUCGCAAGACCUCGCGCGACUGGAGCGGCCGAUAUCAGAUUAGGUAGUUGGUAGGGUAAAGGCCUACCAAGCCAACGAUCUGUAGCUGGUCUGAGAGGACGACCAGCCACACUGGAACUGAGACACGGUCCAGACUCCUACGGGAGGCAGCAGUGGGGAAUUUUGGACAAUGGGCGAAAGCUUGAUCCAGCCAUUCCGCGUGCAGGAUGAAGGUCUUCGGGUUGUAAAGUUCUUUUGUACAGAACGAAAAGGUUUCUAUUAAUCAUAGGAGCUCAUGACGGUUCCGUAAGAAUAAGCACCGGCUAAAUACGUGCCAGCAGCCGCGGUAAUUAGUAGGGUGCAAGCGUUAAUCGGAAUU
RNAcentral lists this ribosomal RNA (523 nucleotides) under uncultured bacterium. Its description in RNAcentral is "bacterial SSU rRNA". It matches the Rfam family "Bacterial small subunit ribosomal RNA", at positions 29 to 552 of the family's 1533-position model. The record is from RNAcentral.